RNAcentral lists this unclassified non-coding RNA (1907 nucleotides) under Nilaparvata lugens (brown planthopper). Its description in RNAcentral is "smad nuclear-interacting protein 1-like, transcript variant X1". The record is from RNAcentral. Lineage: Eukaryota; Metazoa; Arthropoda; Insecta; Hemiptera; Delphacidae.
AAAACGGCCAUCUUGUUUAGUGGGCAGCUGAGAACAAAAGUGUCAACAUCAAGAUCGAGACGAAGAUCAUACCAAGAAAAAUAGGAAAUAAUUUAUUUUCUAUUCCUCUUUGCUGUUAAUUAUCCUUAUUUACAAGUUUAAAUUAUUCAUGCGCUAUCCAAUUCAGUCAUUAUGAAGUGCUGAUACAAAAAUUAACAUAACAAGGUAUACUCCGUCAUAUCACAUACCCUCCGUCGUAAUGACAGGUAAAUUGUUGUCGAAAAAACGCUACAAUCGGGACCGCAGUGUAUCACGUGACAGUAGCUGUAGCGAUGAUGGCGACAGACGGUAUUCUAGAAAAUACACUAAGAGCAGUAGAUAUAGGUAUGACACACGCGAUCGGUCCAGAGAUCGCUACCGGCGAUCGUAUAGCAGAAGCAGGAGUAGCAGCAGCAGUAGUAGUAGCUCAGAUAGGGGAGGUCGCGGGGGAAGCAAGAAAAAGCCGCUCAGAACUAAGUACGAUGACCUCAUGGACAAAGUUAAGGUGAAGGAGGAACCUGUCAGUGAUGAGGACGGUGAUAGGAGAAAAACUAAAUCUAGGUCAACAAAUGUAAAGAGCCGCUACUCGGAUGAAGAGGCUGGAGGUGAUAGAUACAAAAACAGUAGGAGGUCCACGGAAAGAGACGACACGUGGAAGAAUCGGCGUGUGAAGAAGGAGCGAUGGGGUGGGGGAGGUGAUGACAAGGAACACGAGUGGGGCAAGAAGUCGGACCGACUGGACGGAUCCUCACACAACAAGAAACCCCUAGUGGACAAAGCGAAACCCGACUUUGGUUUGUCGGGCAAACUGACCGAGGACACAAACACCUUCAACGGCGUUGUAAUCAAGUACAGCGAACCGCCCGAGGCGCGCAAACCGAAACGACGCUGGCGUCUGUAUCCGUUCAAGGGUGACGAGUGUCUCAAGACGCUACACAUCCAUCGACAGAGCGCGUUCCUGAUUGGUCGAGACCGUAAGGUGGCCGAUAUCCCCGUCGAUCACCCGUCCUGUUCGAAGCAGCACGCCGCGUUACAGUAUCGGCUAGUCACCUAUAACCGGGAGGACGGUCGUGCCGGUAAGCGGAUAUGUCCCUACAUCAUCGAUCUCGAAUCGGCCAACGGCACUUUUGUCAACAACAAAAAAAUCGAAGCGAAAAAGUAUGUGGAACUGUUGGAGCGUGACGUCAUCAAGUUUGGGUUUAGUUCUAGGGAGUAUGUGCUACUGCAUGAGCAUAGCAAGGAUAGUGAAGAUGAUGACAAUGUCUUCGAUAAUAGUGAUUGAUUGGACCGCUUUUGACCGAAUAGUAAAGUGUUCGAUAGUGGGUAAAUUGAUCGACUGUAGUGGAGAGAAUCAAUUGUAACAUUUAAAAUUAUUGGAAUUGAUCGACUGUAGUUGAGAGGAUAGUUAUGUUUGCUAUAAUACUGAUUGAUUGGGCCGCUUUUGACCGGAUAGUGAUGUGUUCUAUAGUGGGUAAAUUGAUCGACUGUAGUGUAGAGAUUCAAUCUUAGACCAGUUAUAGAAUAGACACGCCCCAUACUGAAAGUCGAUGAAGCCAACAUCUACUGCCAUAUCGCCCCAUCGUGACGUCAGCAUCGGAUAGAAAACGUUUCUGUAGAGUUUGUUUACAUUAUGUUCGCCUGUAGUUUUCUAUACGAUGCUGACGUCACGAUGGGGCGAUAUGGCAGUAGAUGUUGGCUUCAUCUACUUUCAGUAUGAAUAUACAAUGGGGCGUGUCUAUUCCAUAACUGGUCUAAGAUUCAAUGGUACAUUUUUGAUUAUUGGAAUUGAUCGACUGUAGUGAAGAGGAUAAUAAUGUUUGCGAUAACAACAAAUUAUUAGGCCUGUGACUGAAUAGUAAUGUGGUCGAUAGUGGGAAUUGAUCGAGACU